RNAcentral lists this non-coding RNA (80 nucleotides) under human gut metagenome. RNAcentral's name for it is "Cyclic di-GMP-I riboswitch". It matches the Rfam family "c-di-GMP-I riboswitch aptamer". From Rfam's summary of the family: GEMM was predicted in a large-scale screen for bacterial structured RNA regulatory elements. The record is from RNAcentral.
AUGAAUAUGGCAAACUUAUCGAAAGAUAAGGACGCAAAGCUAUGGGUCUAAAGACAGGAUGUCUAUGAUUGCCAGGUUGC